This 498-nucleotide ribosomal RNA is filed under the name uncultured bacterium. RNAcentral describes it as "partial 16S ribosomal RNA". It matches the Rfam family "Bacterial small subunit ribosomal RNA", at positions 30 to 523 of the family's 1533-position model. The record is from RNAcentral.
AUUGAACGCUGGCGGCAUGCCUUACACAUGCAAGUCGAACGGCAGCGGACCUUCGGGUGCCGGCGAGUGGCGAACGGGUGAGUAAAGUAUCGGAACGUACCCUAGAGUGGGGGAUAACUAUCCGAAAGGAUAGCUAAUACCGCAUAUUCUAUGCGUAGGUAAGCGGGGGAUCUUCGGACCUCGCGCUCUAGGAGCGGCCGAGAUCAGAUUAGCUAGUUGGUGGGGUAAAGGCCUACCAAGGCGACGAUCUGUAGCGGGUCUGAGAGGAUGAUCCGCCACACUGGGACUGAGACACGGCCCAGACUCCUACGGGAGGCAGCAGUGGGGAAUUUUGGACAAUGGGCGCAAGCCUGAUCCAGCCAUGCCGCGUGAGUGAAGAAGGCCUUCGGGUUGUAAAGCUCUUUCGGCCGGGAAGAAAUCGUGUGGGCUAAUAAUCUGCAUGGAUGACGGUACCGGAAUAAGAAGCACCGGCUAACUACGUGCCAGCAGCCGCGGUAA